This 159-nucleotide ribosomal RNA is filed under the name uncultured bacterium. Its description in RNAcentral is "partial 16S rRNA". It matches the Rfam family "Bacterial small subunit ribosomal RNA", at positions 355 to 507 of the family's 1533-position model. The record is from RNAcentral.
UCGAGAAUUUUUCACAAUGGGCGCAAGCCUGAUGGAGCGACGCCGCGUGGGGGAUGAAGGGUUUCGAUCCGUAAACCCCUGUCAUUUGCGAACAAACCUUGAUGGAUAACACUCAUCAAGCUGAUUGUAGUGAAAGAGGAAGGGACGGCUAACUCUGUG